Molecule: ribosomal RNA, 454 nt
Filed under: uncultured bacterium
Lineage: Bacteria
Description: SSU rRNA
Rfam family: Bacterial small subunit ribosomal RNA
Source: RNAcentral
AGAACGAACGCUGGCGGCAUGCCUAACACAUGCAAGUCGAACGCUUUGAGGGUUUCGGCCUUCAAGGAGUGGCGCACGGGUGAGUAGCGCGUGGGAACCUGCCCUGGAGUGGGGGAUAACCGAGGGAAACUUCGGCUAAUACCGCAUACGCCGGGAAACCGGGAAAGAUUUAUCGCUCUAGGAGGGGCCCGCGUCGGAUUAGCUAGUUGGUGGGGUAACGGCCUACCAAGGCUUUGAUCCGUAGCUGGUCUAGAGAGGAUGAUCAGCCACACUGGGACUGAGACACGGCCCAGACUCCUACGGGAGGCAGCAGUGGGAAUAUGGACAAUGGCGCAAGCCUGAUCCAGCAAUGCCGCGUGAGUGAUGAAGGCCUUCGGGUUGUAAAGCUCUUUCGCACGCGAGGAUGAUGACGCUAGCGUGAGAAGAAGCCCGGCUAACUCGCGCCAGCAGCCGC